This 463-nucleotide ribosomal RNA is filed under the name uncultured bacterium. RNAcentral's name for it is "partial 16S ribosomal RNA". It matches the Rfam family "Bacterial small subunit ribosomal RNA", at positions 28 to 507 of the family's 1533-position model. The record is from RNAcentral.
GACGAACGCUGGCGGCGUGCUUAACACAUGCAAGUCGAACGGUGAACCUCUUCGGAGGGGAUCAGUGACGAACGGGUGAGUAACACGUGGGCAACCUGCCCCCGGCUCUGGGAUAACUCCAAGAAAUUGGGGCUAAUACCGGAUGUUCACCGCUUCCCGCAUGGGUGGUGGUGGAAAGGGUUUCCGGCUGGGGAUGGGCCCGCGGCCUAUCAGCUUGUUGGUGGGGUAGUGGCCUACCAAGGCGACGACGGGUAGCCGGCCUGAGAGGGUGACCGGCCACACUGGGACUGAGACACGGCCCAGACUCCUACGGGAGGCAGCAGUGGGGAAUAUUGCGCAAUGGGCGGAAGCCUGACGCAGCGACGCCGCGUGGGGGAUGACGGCCUUCGGGUUGUAAACCUCUUUCAGCAGGGACGAAGCGCAAGUGACGGUACCUGCAGAGGAAGCACCGGCCAACUACGUG